UGGGGAAUAUUGCGCAAUGCCCGCAAGGGUGACGCAGCGACGCCGCGUGGGUGAAGAAGCUCUACGGAGUGUAAAGCCCUGUCAGAGGGGAAGAACGGUCUGGAUUCGUAAGGGUUCAGAUGUGACGGUACCCUCAGAGGAAGCUCCGGCUAACUCCGUGCCAGCAGCCGCGGUAAUACGGGGGGAGCAAGCGUUGUCCGGAAUCACUGGGCGUAAAGGGCGUGUAGGCGGGCGACCGAGUCAGAUGUAAAAGGCGACGGCUUAACCGUAGUAUGUCAUCUGAUACUGGUUGUCUUGAGUUCGAGAGAGGGUGGUGGAAUUCCCGGUGUAGCGGUGAAAUGCGUAGAUAUCGGGAAGAACACCGGAAGCGAAGGCGGCCACCUGGAUCGAUACUGACGCUGAGGCGCGAAAGCGUGGGGAGCAAACAG
Molecule: ribosomal RNA, 428 nt
Filed under: uncultured bacterium
Lineage: Bacteria
Description: bacterial SSU rRNA
Rfam family: Bacterial small subunit ribosomal RNA
Source: RNAcentral